AAAAUGUCCCUCAGCCAGGUGCUCAGCCCCUGAUAAGCUGAAGCUCAGGCCCUUCCUGGUGCCCUGGUCUCCUGCACUGAGCUGUGUGAGCUCUUCAGCCCAGGUGGGCUCCCUGACAUUGAUGCGCAUAGAUGGUGAGCCUGGAGGAAGACUUGCAUUGGGCCCGAUGGACCCAGGCCAGUGGCCAUCAGCCAGGUGCCCACCCUGGUGUGCUGAAGCUCAGGACCUACCUGUUGUCCUGGUUUCCUGCACUGAGCUGUGCGAGCUCUUCAACCCAGGCGGGGCACUCUGGCAUUCACCGGCAUAGAUCGUGAAAUGGGAGGAAGAAUUGUGUUCGGCCUAAUGGCCCUGGGACAGUGUCCGUCAGCCUGGCAUCCAGCCCCUGGUGUGCUGAAGCUCAGGCCCUUCCUGGUGCCCUAGUCUCCUGCACUGAGCUUGUGAGCUCUUUCACCCAGCAGACUCCCUGGCAUUGACCGGCAUAGAUGGCGGCCCUGGAGGAGGACUUGUAUUGGGGCCACUGACCCCACGUCAGUGUCUGUCAGCCCGGCAUCCAGCCCCUGGUGUGCUGAAGCCCAGGCCCUUCCUGGUGCCCUAGUCUCCUGCACUGAGCUUGUGAACUCUUCUGCUCAAGCAGGUCCCCUGGCAUUGACCAGCACAGGUGAGUGGAUCCUGCUGGGUUCAUCGGCCAUGAGCCAGAAACAUGAGGUCACUGAGGGUCAGCCUUCAGGACAGGAAGAUUUCCUCGGGGAGCCAACCUGAAUCCCCACCGCGGAGGGAUGCGUUGGUCCUCCAGGAGGGUGGCUUCCUGGGGAAUCUGACCCCAUGAGGACACCUUCGCUGAAGCCCUGCAGGGGUUUUGGUGGGCCAGGCCGGAAAGGUUUCCUUCAGUGUCAUGUGGGGCAGCUCUCUGCUGACAUUCAGUGGGUGCGUCUGACCUCCAGGACUGUCUGGGCCACAUGAGCAGGGCAACAGGUGCUCCAGGGUGUCACAGGGAUUAUGCAGGGGGCUCUCUGUCCCCAGAGAGAGGUGGGCGAUCGGACCCAUGUGGUCAGGCUUGUAGGGUUCGGUGGUGGGGAGAGUCAAGGGUUCCCUGGGUUCAUUACCAUCACUGUUUCACCUGGAUCCCAUCACAUGGGUCCAUGGAGGGAGCGCAUGUGUGUGCAGGCACCCCUUGCUCCCUUUUCCACAUGAGCCCCUGGUUGGACACAUGUCCUCCUUCUGUUCCCCCAGAUGGUGGCCCUGGAGUAGGACUUGUAUUGGGGCUACUGGCCCCAUGUCAGUGUCCAUCAGCCCGGAGUCCAGCCCCUGGUGUGCUGAAGCUCAGGCCCUUCCUGGUGCCCUAGUCUCCUGCACUGAGCUUGUGAGCUCUUCUGCCCAGGUGGUCCCCCUGGUCUUAAUGGGCAUAGGGUAAGGCCCUGUUUGGACCCAUCCUCCACCUAUCUCACCAGAUGGUGAGCCCAGAGGAAGACCCCCUGGCUCUGGGCCAGUGUCCGUCAGCCAGGUCCCUGGUCCCCAGUGCGCUGAAGCUCAGGCCCUUCCCAACACCCUGGUCUCCUGCACUGAGUGAACUCUUCUGCCCAGGUGGGCCCUCUGACAUUGACCGGCAUAGAUGGUGAACUCAGAGGAAGACUUGCAUUGGGCCCAGUGGACCUGGGCCAGUGUCUGUCAGCCAGGUCCCCAGCUCCUGAUGCACUGAAGUUCAGGCCCUUCCUGGAGCCCUGGUCUCCUGCCCUGAGCUGUGAUGGUGAGCCUGAAGGAGGACUUGCAUCAGGACCAAUGGACCCUGGCAAGUGUCUGUCAGCCAGGUGCUCAGCCCCUGGUGCACUGAAGCUCAGGCCCUUCCUGGCCCCCUGAUCUCCUGCACUGAGCUGUGUGAGCUCUUCUGCCAAGGGGGGGCCUCCUGGCAUUGACCAACAUAGAUAGUGAGCCUGGAGGAAGAUUUGCGUUGGGCCCAAUGGCCCUGGGCCAGUGUCUGUCAGCCAGUUUCCCAGCCCCUGGUGCACUGAAGCUCAGGCCUUUUCCUGGCAUCCUGGUCUCCUGCACUGAACUGUGUGAGUGCUUCUGCCCAGGUAGGCCACUUGGCAUUGACCAGCAUAG
RNAcentral lists this non-coding RNA (2097 nucleotides) under Pongo abelii (Sumatran orangutan). The record is from RNAcentral. Lineage: Eukaryota; Metazoa; Chordata; Mammalia; Primates; Hominidae.